UAGGGGGCAAGCGUUAUCCGGAUUUACUGGGUGUAAAGGGAGCGUAGACGGCUGUGCAAGUCUGAAGUCAAAGGCAUGGGCUCAACCUGUGGACUGCUUUGGAAACUGUGCAGCUAGAGUGUCGGAGAGGCAAGUGGAAUUCCUAGUGUAGCGGUGAAAUGCGUAGAUAUUAGGAGGAACACCAGUGGCGAAGGCGGCUUGCUGGACGAUGACUGACGUUGAGGCUCGAAAGCGUGGGGAGCAAA
RNAcentral lists this ribosomal RNA (245 nucleotides) under uncultured bacterium. Its description in RNAcentral is "partial 16S ribosomal RNA". It matches the Rfam family "Bacterial small subunit ribosomal RNA", at positions 528 to 772 of the family's 1533-position model. The record is from RNAcentral.